Molecule: ribosomal RNA, 321 nt
Filed under: uncultured eukaryote
Lineage: Eukaryota
Description: partial 18S ribosomal RNA
Rfam family: Eukaryotic small subunit ribosomal RNA
Source: RNAcentral
CCCUUAGACGUUCUGGGCCGCACGCGCGCUACACUGACCAGUGCAACAAGCAUCCGUCCUUGGCCGACAGGCUCGGGCAAUCUUUGAACGCUGUUCGUGAUUGGGAUAGACCUUUGCAAUUAUGGGUCUUCAACGAGGAAUUCCUAGUAAACGCAAGUCAUCAGCUUGCAUUGAUUACGCCCCUGCCCUUUGUACACACCGCCCGUCGCACCUACCGAUUGAAUGGUCCGGUGAAAUCUCGGGACGGCGGCUUGGUCGCUUGCGUCCGACUGCUGAAACUUGAUUAAACCAUAUCAUUUAGAGGAAGGUGAAGUCGUAACA